Cyprinus carpio (common carp) is the source of this 2425-nucleotide long non-coding RNA. The record is from Ensembl. NCBI's taxonomy places the organism in Eukaryota, Metazoa, Chordata, Actinopteri, Cypriniformes, Cyprinidae.
CAUUUUCAAAAGAGUAAGUUAUUUAAUUCAUAAGCUCUAAUUUGCUGGUUUGUUUUGAUUGUUUGUUUUAUGUGCAUGUUUCUUAAAAUACUCCAUAAAAUGUUUAAGUUUCUUCUACAUGUAUAUUUGGUUGUCAUUUUUAUGCUUGAGUUACAUGUACCUGUAUCUUUCCCAUUUAUGACAGAAUGACAAUGUGCUCGAGGUGAUACUGAGACCCACUUCCUGUGAAAAAACAACACAGCGUGUCCAUCGGGAAGAAUGUGAAAUCCACAAUAAGCCAGUAAGUACUAUCAGAGAAUGAUUGUUGAAGUGCCUGUAGAAGUCAUUGUAGAAAAGCCUGACAAUUUCACACAUUUCUAUGUUUUUUUUUUUCAGCCUCAGGUUUUCUGUAUUCAUUGUAAUGGAGCCAUGAAACCAUGUUUACUUCUUAAACAAAAGGAAUUGAUUGAAAAAACGAGGAAGGAAUGUCUGCAGCAUUUGGCUGGGGGAACACAUCUGUUGUUCCAAAUAGGAGGAAAUGAUGAACAGCAAAUGAACAAUGAACUAACUGGAUGUCUUGGAUGCAUCUGAGAUGUAAAAAGGAUCAAGAACAGGAUUUUUUUAUAUUAAUCAUUUUGAAUUAUUUUAAUUAUAACUAACAUUUCUUUUCUUGCAGGCUUAACAUCCGUAUGCUUCUGAGUACUAAAAGUAAACACUUUAGCCAAAGUUUAUGUGCUGAAAUGUCGAAUGUAAAAAAGGCAGCCAGACGUCUGCCUGAAUAUAAGAAUAACCAUAACAACUCAUGACUUGAGUAACAAGCAAACAUAUGAAGAACCAAUGAUGUUAAACAAAAAUGAUGUAAUGAAUCAUGUCAUCUUUGUCAUGCACAUAUGCAAUAUAACUGUUAUAUACUGUUAUACUGAGGUCCUCCUGGCCGUGAUUAAAGCAUAUCUAAAAGCAUUGUCUGGAGUCUGUCUUGUUUCUGCUGCAGGUAUACAGCAGGUGGUGAAUGAGAAUGAGAUUUAAAUAGAAAUUUGGAUUUGAACAGACAAAUAACAGACCUCUCACAGUAAACUAGUUUCUAGUAAAUGAGAAAAGAUGAAGAAUUCUUUGCUAUUACAUUAAACACCAAAUUAUUUAGAGAUGACUGCUGUUUUCUGCAUUUUGUAAAGAAGAAAUUGUUUGCUCUUUCUCUGCAAAGAAGAAGAACUUGCUUUAUUAAAAUAGAAUGGGGAACUGCUGUUGUCAACCAGACGAGACUUUUGAAAUUAAGGGACCAUUGAAAGAGAAAGUUAAAAAGUGGAAUUUAAAUGAAGAGCUUUUUAAAUGAAGAGAAUUUACAAAGAAUCAAUUUGCAUGUGGUUCUCUGAGUCUCUUCUGGAGCAGCCGCCUUGACAAGAGACAGCGAAUAGACUGGAGUGAGAAAGAAGGAAAAAAUGCUGCAGAGAGAAAGGAAAGUAGCUGAUGGGCCUUCAGCUCCCUCCUGAAAGAAGUUGUUGACACUUCUGAGGAGUCAGAAGUGUCAUAAAUCAUAUGUUAUCUUAUCAAGCACGAGGUCCGAAUUUUCCCGCUCUUGCAGGGUAUAAUUUGGACAUGAUUCCUAUAACAAGAAUAUGAUACAUUUGAUAAAUAACUGGUGGUCAGAAACGUUUCAAGCAAGAAGAUUCGAACACACACAUACUAAACAUGAAUAUGAUCCCUUAAGCUAUUCAAGAGUUAUUUAAAAAAAGACAUACACAAUAAGUGAUUAGAAACAUUAAAGUCAAAUGUGUGGGUUACAGGUAUAAAAUGGAGUUAAGCAAUGGACUGAUAUCCAUUUAGGAGUCUUUUUUGAGUUCAUUUUGGUGCAUAUAUGCAUUGGAAGGCAUUCUCUGUGCCAUUCUGGGGAGAAAGGAUAUGUCCUGUGAAGACCAGAGGGGUUAACAGGUCUCCUUAGGAAUUUCAGUCUGGUUUUGCUAGGUGGGGGGAAGUCAAUCCAACGAUCUUGUUUACUCUCAUGGCUUUACAUGUGAGGGUCAGACUGUCCAUUUCUUCGAUUACUUGCCCCAAAUUAGACAAUCUCUUCUUCGAAUUGAAAUUGUCAAUAAUUGUUCUAAUGGUGUUAAUGUUGAAAGCUGUUCUCUGAAAGAGUUGGUUGGUUAUCAGACUGUGGUGCUGGGAGUUGAUUUACAACAUCCUGCCUUUCUGUGGAAUUCGGCUCAUGUUUCAACCAGGCUCCCGAUCGAAUCUUUAAUUUGUCUGGUUCACGCUACACAGCAUGGAGACAGACUGAUUCAGCGCAGGAAAAGUUGACACUUUCACAUGAGACUUCUCUUAAAGACUAAGAGAACAUCCAGCCAUGAAAAAACUCAGAUCGAUCGAUCGAUCAAAAGUUUAACUGACCGACAAUCCACAAAGAGAUAAAGAUAACUUCUAGAUUCAAUAAAAAUAAUAAUUACAAAUUACA